This is an RNA transcript of Daphnia pulicaria, 1084 nucleotides long. RefSeq lists it as uncharacterized. The transcript has 5 exons. The record is from RefSeq and is a predicted model, not a curated record. NCBI's taxonomy places the organism in Eukaryota, Metazoa, Arthropoda, Branchiopoda, Diplostraca, Daphniidae.
GACCAAGCUGAAUCGAAGUGAACAAUGCUACAGCAACAUGUCGAAGUUCUUGCCUUUCUCCAAGUGGUCGCUGCCGUGUCAUGAAGAUGCGUCGUUGAGAGGGUCUCUACUAUAUUGCAAGACAAAAAUGUGAUGGAAACAAAAAAUCUUAAAUGGUUUCCAUUUUCAGUUUGAUGUUUGAGCCGCCUGUGGUGUUCCUGUUUGGUGUAACAGUGGUUUCGCAGUCAUUUUCCAUUUGAGAGAUAUUCUGAAAUGGAGCUUGUGGAGACUUGCAGUUCAACAUCAUACUAUAAUGUGUUAUUUGCCUAUGUUGGUGUCCAUGCAGUAUAUGCACUUAUGCAGUGAUGAACAGUUGGGCUAGUCAAUGUUGCCUGUGGCUGUCUGGCUUAUUUUAUCGGCUGCAUUUUGUCGAUAUGUCUUCUCUUGCUAUCUGUACCGUCGUUGAGUUGAUUCGUUUGCCGCCGUUCCUUAGACUUGAUCCACCGGUGAAACUAAGAAGACGUUGCUGAAAUUCAAGAUUGAUCAAUAAAUUAUGUAGAUAAAUUACAAGUGCAUAAUCUGGGCUCCCUUCUUCAGUGGCCCCGUUUCCCUAAAUAACCACUAACCAACGCCCGCCGGUGGUCACUCACUCGCUGCGACAACCAGGAGGAAGGGAGAUGUUUGGUCGAACGGGGACUUGCAAGGCGCAUGAUUCCAUGGUUUUGGACUUUAUUUUUAUUAGGAUGGAGAUGCUGCCUUCUUUUGUGAUAGCAAAUCGGGUCGUCAUCGUAUGAAACAUCACCACCAUGCUGUUGUAUCGGGGCAAUUGGCUGGAGAGAAGAAUACUGGCAACAAAACAUGGAUGAACAACUGCAGUGCACUGUCACCAAGUGCAUUCUUCGUCGUAUUAUUAGUACGCAAUCGGUGUCGUGCUGUUGCCGUUUGUCGUAUCGUUGAAGGUUGGGUCGAUCACUGGUGUACCCAUGUCUCCUGGGUAUGGCGGAUACCAAAGCACCACGCCGCCGCCUUGCUACACAACGACAACAUUCGCACCAACCGGUUACUACACUGAGGGCCACAAUUACUACACCACCAAGGCUCCAGA